Molecule: transfer RNA, 76 nt
Filed under: Candidatus Kaiserbacteria bacterium RIFCSPLOWO2_01_FULL_54_24
Lineage: Bacteria; Candidatus Kaiseribacteriota
Description: tRNA-Lys
Rfam family: tRNA
About the family: Transfer RNA (tRNA) molecules are approximately 80 nucleotides in length. Their secondary structure includes four short double-helical elements and three loops (D, anti-codon, and T loops). Further hydrogen bonds mediate the characteristic L-shaped molecular structure. tRNAs have two regions of fundamental functional importance: the anti-codon, which is responsible for specific mRNA codon recognition, and the 3' end, to which the tRNAs corresponding amino acid is attached (by aminoacyl-tRNA synthetases). tRNAs cope with the degeneracy of the genetic code in two manners: having more than one tRNA (with a specific anti-codon) for a particular amino acid; and 'wobble' base-pairing, i.e. permitting non-standard base-pairing at the 3rd anti-codon position.
Source: RNAcentral
CCGCCCAUAGCUCAGCUGGUAGAGCAGACGCCUCUUAAGCGUAAGGUCGUUGGUUCGACUCCAACUGGGCGGACAA